AGGAGGCCCUUAAUUGAAGGAUGACUUAUUAAAGACAAAUGAGAGGUGGCCUCACAGUAUCCUGGUGGUGAAUAAAACAAUGUAAUGACCAAAAUUUAGCAUAUUUCAAGAACUGUUUGCCUUCUUGAAUGACACACCAUUGGAGGCUGGGAGGGAAGCUGGAGGCAUAAGAAAGAUAAUACUGUUCCCCUAGCAGAAUCUGAGCUGUGCCCCCACAUGGUUGGGGGGCGCAAAUGCACAGUUUAUUCAUUCUGUAAGAAAAGGGAGUAAAAGCUGAGGGACAAUAUAGCCAGCAUGGCAGCCGACUCUGAAAUCAGCAAGCCUCCCAGACCUCAAAGAGUAUUAGAGCACACACUAUCUACCAAUGUCUGCAUUAGAGAGACACAAGAUAACACAUAACCAGAGUGUACAGACUAGUAAACAGCUACUAGUCCAAUACCCUUGGGAUCCCAACUUUGCCAAUAGCUCCCACCAUUAGAGUAGUGGUCAGAAUCAAAAUGUUCUCCCCAUGACUUUGAAUAUGCUUAGAACUGUGUUGAACAAAGGAUGGUCUUUUUUCUCUUUCUCUGCUGAUAUUUCCUAUGGUGCUCUUGGUCAUUCACAGAAGUGGCUAUGACCCAUGACAGAGGGGAAAAUUAAUGCCCUGGGGAACUGCCAAUCAGAAUCUUGAACAAAACACCUGACCUCUCUUCUGUGAUUCUUUGUGCAUAACAUGAAAAGAAUGCAAGUUAUUUGCUUUGUAGGACUGUUUUUGAGGACUGAACCAGUAGUGUCAGGACACAGUGUGUGGCUCAGUCCUUGUGAGUUUAUUCUCUCCAAUCCUUUUUCAAUCCUUACCUCUGAGUUUUUGACCCUGGAGCUCAGGUUGACCUUUUUCGCCAGAUAUUUUGAUUUCUGACCUAACAGCCUUACCUACCAAUGCCCAAUGAUAAUAAAAACCAAUUUUGUUCAAAGAAGCAUUGCCCAUUUCCAGGAUGAGAUUAAGGAAUUC
This 991-nucleotide long non-coding RNA is filed under the name Marmota monax (woodchuck). The record is from RNAcentral. Lineage: Eukaryota; Metazoa; Chordata; Mammalia; Rodentia; Sciuridae.